GACGAACGCUGGCGGCGUGCUUAACACAUGCAAGUCGAACGGAAAGGCCCUGCUUUUGUGGGGUGCUCGAGUGGCGAACGGGUGAGUAACACGUGAGUAACCUGCCCUUGACUUUGGGAUAACUUCAGGAAACUGGGGCUAAUACCGGAUAGGAGCUCCUGCUGCAUGGUGGGGGUUGGAAAGUUUCGGCGGUUGGGGAUGGACUCGCGGCUUAUCAGCUUGUUGGUGGGGUAGUGGCUUACCAAGGCUUUGACGGGUAGGCGGCCUGAGAGGGGGACCGGCCACAUGGCGACUGAGAUACGGCGCAGACUCCUACGGGAGGCAGCAGUGGGGAAUAUUGCACAAUGGGCGGAAGCCUGAUGCAGCAACGCCGCGUGCGGGAUGACGGCCUUCGGGUUGUAAACCGCUUUCGCCUGUGACGAAGCGUGAGUGACGGUAAUGGGUAAAGAAGCACCGGCUAACUACGUG
This 468-nucleotide ribosomal RNA is filed under the name uncultured bacterium. Its description in RNAcentral is "partial 16S ribosomal RNA". It matches the Rfam family "Bacterial small subunit ribosomal RNA", at positions 28 to 507 of the family's 1533-position model. The record is from RNAcentral.